This 75-nucleotide transfer RNA is filed under the name Marmota monax (woodchuck). RNAcentral describes it as "tRNA.Glu". The record is from RNAcentral. Lineage: Eukaryota; Metazoa; Chordata; Mammalia; Rodentia; Sciuridae.
GGAUGUAGCUCAGUUGGUAGAGGGCUGGCCUCUCAUGUCUCAUGCACAAGGACCUGGGUUGGAUCCCCAGCACCA